Molecule: ribosomal RNA, 2139 nt
Filed under: Escherichia coli
Lineage: Bacteria; Pseudomonadati; Pseudomonadota; Gammaproteobacteria; Enterobacterales; Enterobacteriaceae
Description: partial 23S ribosomal RNA
Rfam family: Bacterial large subunit ribosomal RNA
Source: RNAcentral
GGGUUGUGAGGUUAAGCGACUAAGCGUACACGGUGGAUGCCCUGGCAGUCAGAGGCGAUGAAGGACGUGCUAAUCUGCGAUAAGCGUCGGUAAGGUGAUAUGAACCGUUAUAACCGGCGAUUUCCGAAUGGGGAAACCCAGUGUGUUUCGACACACUAUCAUUAACUGAAUCCAUAGGUUAAUGAGGCGAACCGGGGGAACUGAAACAUCUAAGUACCCCGAGGAAAAGAAAUCAACCGAGAUUCCCCCAGUAGCGGCGAGCGAACGGGGAGCAGCCCAGAGCCUGAAUCAGUGUGUGUGUUAGUGGAAGCGUCUGGAAAGGCGCGCGAUACAGGGUGACAGCCCCGUACACAAAAAUGCACAUGCUGUGAGCUCGAUGAGUAGGGCGGGACACGUGGUAUCCUGUCUGAAUAUGGGGGGACCAUCCUCCAAGGCUAAAUACUCCUGACUGACCGAUAGUGAACCAGUACCGUGAGGGAAAGGCGAAAAGAACCCCGGCGAGGGGAGUGAAAAAGAACCUGAAACCGUGUACGUACAAGCAGUGGGAGCACGCUUCGGCGUGUGACUGCGUACCUUUUGUAUAAUGGGUCAGCGACUUAUAUUCUGUAGCAAGGUUAACCGAAUAGGGGAGCCGAAGGGAAACCGAGUCUUAACUGGGCGUUAAGUUGCAGGGUAUAGACCCGAAACCCGGUGAUCUAGCCAUGGGCAGGUUGAAGGUUGGGUAACACUAACUGGAGGACCGAACCGACUAAUGUUGAAAAAUUAGCGGAUGACUUGUGGCUGGGGGUGAAAGGCCAAUCAAACCGGGAGAUAGCUGGUUCUCCCCGAAAGCUAUUUAGGUAGCGCCUCGUGAAUUCAUCUCCGGGGGUAGAGCACUGUUUCGGCAAGGGGGUCAUCCCGACUUACCAACCCGAUGCAAACUGCGAAUACCGGAGAAUGUUAUCACGGGAGACACACGGCGGGUGCUAACGUCCGUCGUGAAGAGGGAAACAACCCAGACCGCCAGCUAAGGUCCCAAAGUCAUGGUUAAGUGGGAAACGAUGUGGGAAGGCCCAGACAGCCAGGAUGUUGGCUUAGAAGCAGCCAUCAUUUAAAGAAAGCGUAAUAGCUCACUGGUCGAGUCGGCCUGCGCGGAAGAUGUAACGGGGCUAAACCAUGCACCGAAGCUGCGGCAGCGACACUAUGUGUUGUUGGGUAGGGGAGCGUUCUGUAAGCCUGUGAAGGUGUACUGUGAGGUAUGCUGGAGGUAUCAGAAGUGCGAAUGCUGACAUAAGUAACGAUAAAGCGGGUGAAAAGCCCGCUCGCCGGAAGACCAAGGGUUCCUGUCCAACGUUAAUCGGGGCAGGGUGAGUCGACCCCUAAGGCGAGGCCGAAAGGCGUAGUCGAUGGGAAACAGGUUAAUAUUCCUGUACUUGGUGUUACUGCGAAGGGGGGACGGAGAAGGCUAUGUUGGCCGGGCGACGGUUGUCCCGGUUUAAGCGUGUAGGCUGGUUUUCCAGGCAAAUCCGGAAAAUCAAGGCUGAGGCGUGAUGACGAGGCACUACGGUGCUGAAGCAACAAAUGCCCUGCUUCCAGGAAAAGCCUCUAAGCAUCAGGUAACAUCAAAUCGUACCCCAAACCGACACAGGUGGUCAGGUAGAGAAUACCAAGGCGCUUGAGAGAACUCGGGUGAAGGAACUAGGCAAAAUGGUGCCGUAACUUCGGGAGAAGGCACGCUGAUAUGUAGGUGAGGUCCCUCGCGGAUGGAGCUGAAAUCAGUCGAAGAUACCAGCUGGCUGCAACUGUUUAUUAAAAACACAGCACUGUGCAAACACGAAAGUGGACGUAUACGGUGUGACGCCUGCCCGGUGCCGGAAGGUUAAUUGAUGGGGUCAGCGCAAGCGAAGCUCUUGAUCGAAGCCCCGGUAAACGGCGGCCGUAACUAUAACGGUCCUAAGGUAGCGAAAUUCCUUGUCGGGUAAGUUCCGACCUGCACGAAUGGCGUAAUGAUGGCCAGGCUGUCUCCACCCGAGACUCAGUGAAAUUGAACUCGCUGUGAAGAUGCAGUGUACCCGCGGCAAGACGGAAAGACCCCGUGAACCUUUACUAUAGCUUGACACUGAACAUUGAGCCUUGAUGUGUAGGAUAGGUGGGAGGCUU